AGUGAACGCUGGCGGUAGGCCUAACACAUGCAAGUCGAACGGCAGCACAGUAAGAGCUUGCUCUUACGGGUUGCGAGUGGCGGACGGGUGAGGAAUACAUCGGAAUCUACUUUUUCGUGGGGGAUAACGUAGGGAAACUUACGCUAAUACCGCAUACGACCUACGGGUGAAAUCAGGGGAUCUUCGGACCUUGCGCGAUUGAAUGAGCCGAUGUCGGAUUAGCUAGUUGGCGGGGUAAAGGCCCACCAAGGCGACGAUCCGUAGCUGGUCUGAGAGGAUGAUCGGCCACACUGGAACUGAGACACGGUCCAGACUCCUACGGGAGGCAGCAGUGGGGAAUAUUGGACAGUGGGCGCAAGCCUGAUCCAGCCAUACCGCGUGGGUGAAGAAGGCCUUCGGGUUGUAAAGCCCUUUUGUUGGGAAAGAAAAGCAGCAGGUUAAUACCCCGCUGUUCUGACGGUACCCAAAGAAUAAGCACCGGCUAACUUCGUG
This 492-nucleotide ribosomal RNA is filed under the name uncultured bacterium. RNAcentral describes it as "partial 16S ribosomal RNA". It matches the Rfam family "Bacterial small subunit ribosomal RNA", at positions 29 to 507 of the family's 1533-position model. The record is from RNAcentral.